CAACCUCAUUCAGAAGGCUUGGUUCAGUCCAAUGCUGCUUUCCCAACUUUAUGCAACUGGGGUCCAUGUCCUCUCACUUGGUCAGUUGUACAGUUACAGCCUGGGAUACUUAUCUAUUCACCAGUUGAAGGACACCAGAGCAAGAACACUAGAAAUGAAGAUGAAAAGAGGCAUUCAAUUGGAUAGACAGAGAGCAGUGAAGAACUCCUACCUGGUUCAGCACUGGACAACGAGAAGACUUCUACCACCUCUCAUAAGACCAGAAACUCGACCAUCACUUUUCUACUGGAAUACUAAAAACCUUCAGAGGACUAAUUAAGAAGAUACUCAUCCAUAUAUAUUUAUCACCUGCUCAAAGAAACUGUCCUUCUGUCUAAUAUGAUUUGACAACAUGUGUUGCUUUCUUCUUUGUGUUUGUAAAGAGUAGAA
Long non-coding RNA from Mesocricetus auratus (golden hamster), 429 nucleotides. RefSeq lists it as uncharacterized. The transcript is spliced from 3 exons. The record is from RefSeq and is a predicted model, not a curated record. NCBI's taxonomy places the organism in Eukaryota, Metazoa, Chordata, Mammalia, Rodentia, Cricetidae.